RNAcentral lists this long non-coding RNA (34181 nucleotides) under Malus domestica (apple). Its description in RNAcentral is "long non-coding RNA (MDOM_LNC017345)". The record is from RNAcentral. Lineage: Eukaryota; Viridiplantae; Streptophyta; Magnoliopsida; Rosales; Rosaceae.
AUUCUCAACUUGGGUAGUUUGCUCACUUCUCUUGCUAACUCCUAUUGCCCACCACCGCAUGUCAAACCACCUCAUGCAAAGCCUCCUCCUCAUGUACCCACGAAACCACCUCAUGUUAAACCACCCAUUGUAAAGCCACCUCCCUAUCCGAAACCUCCUGUUCCCAAACCACCUCCCCAUCCCAAACCUCCUGUUGUGAAACCACCACCUGUUGUAGUGCCAAGCCCACCACCAACACCAACACCAACCCCAGUUGUCCCAGUGAAGCCUCCUCCACCCACCGAAACACCAUGCCCUCCUCCACCACCAAAGUUAGUACCACCACCACCAUCUCCACCAAAGGACACGUGUCCCAUCGACACCCUAAAAUUGGGAGCUUGUGUAGAUGUGUUGGGUGGUCUUAUCCACAUUGGAAUUGGAAGCAGUGCCAAAGAUACAUGUUGUCCGGUGCUUCAGGGACUGGUGGACUUGGACGCUGCUAUUUGCCUUUGCACCACCAUCAAGGCUAAGCUUCUCAAUGUCAACCUCAUCAUCCCCAUUGCUCUUCAGGUGCUCAUUGCUUGUGGGAAGACUCCUCCCUCUGGAUUCCAGUGUCCUGCAUAGAUGAUCAUCAUAUCUUAUUCCUAAAUCACACUUAGUAGUUGUUAAUCAUGUCAUCAUUAGUGAUAUGUGGCGCCGGCUAGCUGAUAAUAAAGCAUGUCAAAGCUUGGAAGUAAAAACUACAUGAGGAUAAAUCUGUUAUUCGUUUUUGUUUUGUUUUGUUUACUUGAAGAGUGUAUCAGAUCGAUAGACUGGUAAUUUAGUCAUGUUAUUUUCUUGAACCUUGGAAGUAUAUAUAAUAACCUGAGUUUAAAGAAGACCUUCAUUUUUCACCGUUCGUCAAUCUCCUGUAGAGGACUUACAUGGAACACCACCACCGUGCCCGUGACAUCAUGGUCUAAUAAUACAACUUCAUUUGUAAUUAAAGAAACUCACAUAUGACAUUAUAUUAUUGAACUGAGACACUAGUGUAAAUAUUUUAAAUUGAUGAUAGGAUUCUUCACUAUAUUCUUAUAGAGUCGAGUAGUAGUUUUAUAAAAUCAUCAAAAUUAGAGCUCAAAUAACCAUUAAAUUAUGAUUUUUUCGUUUCUAACCGUCGAAGAAUUUCGUCCUGUUACCUAAUAUAGUAAUACUGGUGAUUUUUGGUGUGUGCAAUCUUAGAGUAUAUACAAAUAAGUUUGACAGCUUGAUUGUUGAAAUUAAUUUUGCAGACAUCGAAAAUCAUCUAAGGAACUAAAUACGCCAAUCAUGUCUGUUACCUCUGCCUUAUGAAAUAUAUGUUGGAAAAUAUUAGUAUUUAGGUUUAUUUUAGUAUUUGGGUUUUGCUUGUUAGUUUAGGAUUUGUGCUUAGCCCAUCCGAGUUAGGGUUUCGUAGGUUUAGUUCUCUAUAAAUAGAGCUUGUAAUUUAGUUUGACAAUAAGUUAGCCACAAUGUAGUCUCUUAGGGUUUUGUAGCCGCUUCGGCAUUCUCAGUUUGUUUAAUAAUAUUCUUAUUAUUUGUUAGUCUUGUUUGUUGCGCACUGAUAUUCAACUUGGUAUCAGAGUAGGUUUGAUUCUUCGGGAUCUAAUCUGCUUCUGUUUGUUCGUAUCAGUUUUAUUUCUUUCCAGUUUCCAUCCGUAAAUUUUUUACGUUUUCUGGUUUGGUUUUUCAGUUUGUCCUUGGUAGUCUUCAAGAAAGGAAAAAAAAAUUCUGUUUUUGAAAAAAAAGAAUUUGGUGAAUUUGUCUCACACCCAAAUUUGAAAAUGCUCCAUCGCACUAAGAUUUCUGCAUUCCCCAGCCCCACCUUGCAUCUGGAUCCGUCCACAACCGUACACCUGCGAAAAAAAAGAAACAAGAAAAAAGAAAGGCUAAUGUUGCUGGUUGGUUCACACAGAAGAAAAAUAAGGAAGGAAGAAGGAAGAAAAAAAAAGCGGGGGGGAAAAGGAAGGAAAAAAAAUUGGUUGUUUUGAGGUUUUGUUGCCCUCGUAUUCUUGCAUUGGGUAUGGUAUUGGAAUUUGGCAUUGGGCAUGGUAUUGGAAUUUGGCAUUGGUAUUGGUAUUGGCAUUGGCAUUGGUACUGGUAUCGGCAUUGACAUCUGCAUUGGCAUUGGCAUUGGCAUUGGCAUUGGCAUUGGCAUUGGCAUCGGCAUCGUCAUUGGUAUUGGCAUCGGCAUCGGCAUCGGCAUUGGUAUUGGUAUUAGCAUCGGCAUCGGCAUUGGCAUCGGCAUCGGCAUCGGCAUCGGAAUUUGGAGGCUUGCAUCCACAUCUGCUUGUUGGCAAACUCAUGUCGUGUACCACCAUGAGUUUGACGGGAGGUGUUGGAAAAUAUUAGUAUUUAGGUUUAUUAUAGUAUUUGGGUUUUGCUUGUUAGUUUAGGAUUUGGGCUUAGCUCAUCCGAGUUAGGGUUUCGUAGGUUUAGUUCUCUAUAAAUAGAGCUUGUAAUUUAGUUUGACAAUAAGUUAGCCACAAUGUAGUCUCUUAGGGUUUUGUAGCCGCUUCGGCAUUCUCAGUUUGUUUAAUAAUAUUCUUAUUAAUUGUUAGUCUUGUUUGUUGCGCACUGAUAUUCAACUAUAUAAACCCUAAUUACAACAUAUACCUUUGAGUGACGAAAGCUGGAAGGUUCGUCGUGUAAAGGUUGCCAUUUUAUGUGCCAAACUUUUAUCUUGGUGCGAAAACUUUAACCCACGACGUAAGCUUUGCUCGUCGAACUCUGUUCGCCGGGCAAAAGCAUCUGCAAAAACCAAAACGUUUGACCGUUUUGCUCGACAAACGUUUAUUUUGUCAGGUAAAGACUAUUUGGCCGACAAAAUACCGUUCGUCUAGCAAAACUUUGUCAGAAAAAUGGUAAUUUCUGGUUAUGUAUGAUAAAACUUUGUCGGACAAAUGAUAAUUUUUGGUAGUGUAUCAUAUAUAUAUAUAUAUAUAUAUAUAUAUAUAGAGGUUUCUCUCCCUUGUGUGUGUAUGUCUGUAUCUGUUGAUAUAGCGUGUUUGCAGGUUCACGUGAAUGUGUAGACUGUAGUGCAUUGAAUUAUUUUAAUUGCAUUCGUUUGUAAGAUAUCAGUAGGAAUAAAAUAUCAACGUCAAGGCUUAAAAAAAAAUAUCAACGUCAGGUACCACAUGUAAGAUACAUGCAACACGUACAACUUUCUUAUGGAUUUUGGAAGUUUGUCUAUAUUUAUACCAAGGCUUCCAAAAAUACGAGCCUUCUCCUCUCCUGCAUCCAAGUCCUGCUGAACAAGGAAGAAAAUAUCGGUAAUAUCGGAAAUAUCGGUAGUCCGAAAACAUGGAAAUAUCGAUGGAAAUAUCGGGAUAAUAUCGAUAUCGAUAAAAAUUACAUGGAAACCACGGAAAUUGUAAGAAAAACUUGGAAAUUUUUAUUAAAACUUUGCAGGAUGUUUAUUUAGUCAAUUAUCUAUUAGUUUAUCACAAAAAAAUUGGAAGGAAAUGCAUUGCAUGAUGGAUUUAACUGAUUUAAGUUGAUUAUAUAGCGAGCUGGCAAACAUUGUGAGUGUAGAAAAUAUAUAAUAAUUAAUGAAAGAAGUUUAAACACACCAUAAUCAUUUAUAUAUAAUGAAUUAGUACAAUAUUUUACACUUUAUACAUUGCAUGGUAAGAUACAUGAGUGACUAAGUACCACAUAGAGUUCCUAUGAGGUUCAAAAUUUUCACUAUCUUCAUCAUCACUAUGUGUAGAGUAAGUGUAUUGUGAAGAGUAGUUAGCAACCAUGGCAAUGACUUUCAAGAACCGAAACCCAAAAGUCAAUAGGAAACCGAAUACUUCGGUAUUUUUCGGGAUUUCAGGAUUACCAAACAAAUGGGAUUUGGAAAACCAAUCCCAUAUCGAAAAUUUCGGUAUUUUUCGGGAUGGUUUUGGUUUGGGACUUUUUCGGUUUGGUUUGGGAUUUUCGGGAAUUUUUUCCAACCAUACAUGUAAGUGACCAAAUAAAAAAUAGAAAAAUUAAAAACCACAUGCCAUUGACUAAGUAAUUAAUUGACACAAUUUAAAAUAUAAUACCACAAAAAAUUUGGAAUAUGUGCAAAUUUGUUUCUUGCAAAAAGAAUUCAAAACAAAACCAUAUAUAUAAAUAGUUUAGCAUGUUUUCACAAAAACGUAAGUGGUAUAGUGGUCAAGUUGCUGAAGGAGUUAGAUGGGAGGGGUUCGAAUCACUUUAUGUGCAUGUUUGAGACUUUUCAGAAAUUUUCAAAUAUUUUUAGGUUCAUCUCGCGAUAUAUAAUAUCGCGAUAAUAUCGAUAUUAUCGCGAUAUAUUAACGAUAAUUAUAAAAAUACUCACGAAAUAUCGUUAUAUGAAAAAACGAUAAUAUCGGCGAUAUUAUCGAUUUUUAAAUCUAUGCUGCUGAAUCACAUCCACCAAAUCCAAAGGGGAUUGGGAAUAUAAUUGCUCCAUCACACUCAAUUAUUGUUCGUGUAAUGUUUUCUUUGCACAACAUUUUAAUUCAAAUUUCACCAUGUUUUUUUAUGUUUCAAUUAUUUGAUCAAUUUAUUGGAGGAAAAAAAAACACAGGUUAGCGAUCGUACGAUCGAUAUCGACCACCAUAUCGACAAUACAGAGGGAAAAAGAAUAAGACAUGUCAUCACCUAACAUUUUUAAUAAUGUCACUAAAACAUUUCAAGUUCCAAUUCAAUCAACCUUUCCUGUCAGCAACAUAUGUCUCGCACCGACCUCUCAACACAAAGCACUUAUGUCACUCCUACGAGAAAUUCUAAGAUCCGACCGAACAAGCCAAGACACAAAAAACCCUUCCCCUAUCCCACCCCGAUUUUAACAUGUUAACCUGGCCUGCUUUUAGUCUCACUCUCCUCUCACACCACCUCCAAGUCGAAUGUCCUAGCUACACAAAAAUCUGUCUCCAGUCUUUUUAUAAUCCUGCUCUGGUAACCUCAGUUGAAUGGCAGGAUAAAUUUGAAUGGGGGGAGGAAAAAAAACCGCUAAAUUAUGUGUCGGAUCAUUUGUGCAUCAUGUAGUACUCAAAUUAAUGUGGUGUAAAAUGUGGUUUCGUUAGUAGUUUGAUGCCUCAGGUUUUCUGCUUUCUUUUGGUAAUCACAUUAUUAUAGCGCACCACUUAAUUAGCACACCAUUUGAUAACUCCCUAGCUAGUAUAUACGUAAUUUUUUUAUCUCAUUCAUUUUUCUUCCUAGUCUCUCUUCUUUUCAUUUCUUUUUUUCCAAUUAGAGGAAACAAUGCUAAGAUAUAUAAUUUUGAUAUGAACCCUAAACCGUAAUUUUAUAUAUGAACCAUAAACCCCAAGUUUUUAUCUGAUCAUUUUGGUGGAAAUAAUCUUUUUUUUUUUUGUUUAAAACGAACAAAAUUGUUUGUAGGGCGAGUUUUGAAAAAUUCAGUGAUUCACAAAUAAAGAUGGGCGUCCACAUAUUUGUAAACUUUGGCAAGGCUGGGUUGUCAAGGAAAUAGGUGUCCAGAGGCAAUGUUUGGGUGUAAACAGAACUACUCAUAUCAAACUCACGAAAACAUCCUUGAAUAUUAUUGGGCUACAUGCGCGAAAACAUUUGAACUACCCUUAUCUAAAUUUCCCCCCUUACUCCUGAGCAGAGUAAAACCCUGGUCAUUUCUUGAGGAAGAAGACGACGACGAAUUGGAGAAAAAUAGGGCGCUGAGCUGAACAGCGGCUAAAAGCAUAAAUUUUCUUUGUCCAUCUGCACGAACAGAGCGCCAGAAAAACUGGGCAAGAUCCUCAUUUUUCAACGUUUGUCUUAUUAAUUAGCUUCUGAUGAAAUUUCAUUCGCAUAUUGUGGUUUUAUCUGUUUGAUGAGAUUUUAAUGUAGAGUUUGUAUCUGUUCGAUGAAAUUUCAUUCGCAUAUUGUGGUUUUAGCAUGUGAUUGACUUGAGAUAGUAUUAGUACGACGUGUUAAUUGCAUGCGUACUUCCGUUCUUACAACUUAAGUAACUUGAACAACUUUUACAACUAAUUCUGUGGUUUGUUUUAGUGCAGAUGCAAGAAGUUUUGCGCAAUUCUUUAAACCCCAAGACACAAAACUACACAAAAGCAAAUCAAUCCACGAAUUAGAGAAGAACAGACUGAAAGCAAUAAUCACUUGGACUUGCAUUUUACGUUGGCUUCCCCAAAUAUUGAAUUCCAACCGUUCGAUGCCAGCUCUCCCUCCUCAUCACCACCGUUGGAUUCACCAGCACCGGGACAUCUCCCUCUUCCAGCCCAAAACUCCGUAUCCCUACCAAUUCCUCCACACCCACCUCUUGCAAAUCCUCCUCCAUCUAGGCCCACUUCCUCACCCAUCCCAAACCCAUCACAAAAUGGGCCUAGCCCACACCCACCAACCACAAUCCCAACCCCACCCAAAUCAGUCCUGAGCCCACCAGUCCUUCCGCCGCCAAUAGCUUUCCCUCCACCGUCCGGACCGCCAUCCCUUCCACAGAAAAAGCCACCGCAGUUUGCCGUGUAGUGCGUGGUGAAGCCGACAGUGCCGGACCCGAUAAUCCAAGAAGCCCUGGACUAUGCGUGUGGGUCCGGGGCAGACUGCAAGUCGAUCUGGCCCAAUGGGUCCUACUACCAGCCCAACACCGUAUGCUUCGUAUGCCUUCAAUAGUUACUGGCAGAACACGAAGAUCGCUGGAGGCACUUGUGACUUUGGAGGGACUGCCAUGCUUGUCACGGUUGAUCCAAGUAAGUCCAAAUUUUCCUCAUAUCAAGAUAUUAUUUUGGCAUAUUGCAUUUGAUAUUUUCGCAGAACUUUCCUUCAAGGACAAGUUGUUUCAUUCAAGGACAAGUAGUCAUUUCUUUAAAAUUUCAAACGCUAUUUUACUUUAGACUAAUCUAAAUUACGAUGGAAAAAUUAAAUAAGUUUGCCUAUGUAUCCAAAUUCCUUACUAAAUCUAGUGUACUUUGUUUUCAAAAAGUUAAUACAGAUCCGAAUCUUUUUUUUUGUUUUUUUUUGGGGUUAAGAACCCUAAUCGUUGUUAAUGGCGGGUGACAGCAUGAGAGUAUCACUUGACAAAACGAUAACUUUCGUUUACUCGAUUAUCUUGUCCUUAACUAUAAUGGUAAUCAAAUUAUAGAACUUUGAAGAAGAUAAUUAGAAGUACACGUCCAUGAGUGCAAAUUUAAUUUAUAAACCUACAAGCAGACCUACAUAUCUUAGAUUCCCAAGAAACAUAUAAUAAUUCAGUAAGCUGUAAGCUCUUUCUUUACUCGAUGACUGGAAAAUUGGACAUGGAAAACGCAUGCUACAGACGUCGAUACAGGAUGAGGAACCAUGACAAAAACUAAGUGUUUUUUUCCUCUCUUUUUCCUCAAACGAUAAACUAAUGUUUGGUAGAACAUUAUCCUGUCUUGGUUAAUAUAUUAGGAUUUAAAUAGUAACAUCCAGAAACAAAGAGAUAAUAUUGGAUGAAAAUCAACGUCUCUCUCUUCUGUAAGGGAGCAGGGUUGUUGGAAAAGGUAAUCAAGGAAAAGCCAUGCAGAACUUUGCAUUUUGAUUUGGACCCUCAAUCGAUUUCAAUUUGAUUGAGUGUACCCCUAAUGGGGAAUGAUUAAUUCUUCAAAGUUUUGCUAGCUAGCUAGCAUCACCUGCACGUAAAUGGGUGACUGUGAUAAAUCGCAAUUUAUUAUCAUUAAUAGUUAGGCAGUUGUCAAAUUAUUGAUGAAUCGAGAUUUAUGCUCCUCAAUAGCUGAAUGAUUAUCAAAUUAUUGAUGGGUUGAGAUUUACACUCAUCGACACUUGACAAUCACGCAACAAAUGUUACUAGGAAUUCUCCAAAAAAAUAUCUUACAUCGUAUUCAUUGGUGUCAUUGCUCAUCAUGUGCAUCUUUUGACCUUUACAAAAGAACCUGUCUCUAGCUAAAUUCCUAUGACUCUUACAUCUAUGAAAUAUAUGCUUAUAAAGUUUAACAAGUAGUUGCAGGUGGCCUUCUACCACAGUGAUAGAGAUGAGUGACGCCCUUGCAUGAUGGCGUGGGUUCGAACUCCGUCAAUGACAAAUUUACUUUCUAACUUAACAACAAUAUUGCUCAACUCCCAAAAAAAAAAAAAAGUUUAACAAGUAGUUAAUUAGUAAUAUUUAUCUUUCUUACUUUAAUUGUGGUGAGAUAUCUUUAGUAUUACUUUAUAUUUUCUUAUAGGGUGACCCCACACUAAAUUUGCUUAAUUUUAUCUCUUUUGCUUUAAAUUGGUGUUGCUUUGGAUGAAGGAUACAAGAUGCUAACACAUCCCUUGCAUGAUUGUGACAUGGCAGGUUAUGAUGAAUGCAAUUUCUUCUUCAACGGAUGAUCUUGAAACAUACAUACAUGUAUAUAUAUAUAUAUAUAUAUUAGCUAUUACGACAUUAAGAAAGAAAAAAAUGUUAGGAAGAUCAAAUUUGUUAGACUAUUUUUUGUAGACUCAUGAUGUGGUGGUUGAUGGUUGGACUCAUUUUUUUUAAUAAUUUAAAUAAAUAGUCUAACCAUCAAUCGCCACAUCAUGAUAGUUUAAAAUUUUAUUUAUUUUUUAGAAGAGAUCUACACACUAUGUAUACAUCACAUUUUAUUUAGGAGUUCCAUAUUUGUGAGUGCAAACGGAACUUUUGGCUGUAGAAGUAGCGGCACUUGAAAGUGAAGUUGUAUUGAUCUUCUUGUCUUCCAGUGUCCAUUUUAUGUACAUGGAAUAUACCUGUCGGUUAGCUGUUGCAUAUUCCCUUUGAGAUUUCCAGAUUGUCCAAAAACUGCAUACACACAUAUUUCUUUGAUUUAGCAGGAUUAAAAAGAAGGGUGCUUUUAUUUCACCAAUAAGAAAUAACUCAUAAUGACGAUGAUCUCAUAUAACAUUGUAGAGUCUGUUUGAUAAUUAUUCAUAUUUUAGUUUUUAUUCUAUAUGUUAAAGAUAGAACAUGAGAAAAUGCGGGCAUAGAAGAGUGGAGAAGUGAUGUUGGGAGAGAUGUAGAGAAGAUGUGUAAAGAAAGGUGUACGAAAUGAAAUCUAAAAACUAAAAUUAAAAAUUAUGUACUUUGAAUUGUUUUCACUUUCGAGAUUUUAUUUUCAUUCCUUCUUUGUUUUGUGCCGUCGCUCCCUCGACCUUUCUUCAUCCCUAAUCUCCUCAAUAUAUUUUGCCCAUAUCUCAAACAAAAUAUAAAAACUAAUAGUACAUACCCAAUGAAACUUGUUUCGUAACCAGCUAGCAUUACUACCUUUUCUUUUCCUCUCAAGAGUCGCGAUAGAAUAUCUAGCUAGAUCAAUGUUUUUGUCGACAAAGAUACCUUGCACCAAAAGUAGGCCAGCUGCUUUACCAUUUUUAGACAUACUUCAAAUGGCGUCUAGUGACCGAGAGGUUGGACUUUCACCAUUAAACACCAAUACACAGACUUGUUUGCAACAGGAAGACGAUGACAAUACAUGCAAGUGCUCAUUAUUUCAUCGGUAUUUAUAUAAAGGUAGUGCUAUCCAGACACCUAUUUUUACUUCUCACACACUAUCUUAAUUUUCGAUUGUCGGAACAAAUGAAUUGAUAAAAAUCAAAUGCCAAAAUUGAUAAGGGUGUGUGGAAACCAAAGCUAGAUGUUAAUAAUAAUAUCCUUAAUGUAAAUAAUAUCGUUGGUUAAAAUAAAAAACACUAUCCUUAGUCAAUUCUUUGGCGAACAUGACUUUUCACAUUACAAAAUAAUACAAACCCUAAUGACUUUUCAGAGGUCGUUCGAUGAUCUUUUUGUGGCAGCAAGUGAAGCAUUACUCUUAUCCUUAACUUGAAAAAAUAAAUUCAACCUAUUAUAUAUGUACAUGAUGGUUAUAUAUAUACGCACCAUGCAUGGACCAACGUCGUCUCACCCGGGCUUACACCACAUGUACUUUUUGAAAUGCAAUUUCAUGCAGCUAGGGUUAGCACCUAUAUAAAUUAAAAGAAAGAAUAAAUUACACUUUACUACUUUAAUUUUAUGUCGCAUAACAAACUCAUACAUCAUAUUUUAAACAUUGCAAUGUCAUACAUUAAAUUACGAAUUUGUUGUCAUAUCAAACUUCCGUUAAAAAAUCUGUUAAGUUAGCCGUUUAUCCACACAACCACUCAACGGUUAACUUAACAGAUUUUUUUAAUAGCGGUCCAACAUUUAACGAAUUUGUAAGUUAAUUGAUGUAAACAUUGGAAUGAUCAGAAGAUGAGAUAUAAGUUUGUUAUGUGACCCAAAAUGAGGUGGUAAAAUAUAAUUUACCCUAAAAAAAAUGUUCCUACAUCCAAAUUUCAAAAAAACAAAAUUUAAUUUCAAAAAUAUAUAGUAAGGUGUAUGGCCGACACCCAAAUGCGAAUGCAAUUGCUUCCGUCUAUUCAUAGGAAUGGCUAAACUUAAACUAAGAAAGAGGUAACACUGGUUGACUAGUCCUAUCCAAAGAAGGAAAUGAACACCCCCAUCCACACCUCCGCCCCCCCCACCCCGCAACCAAAAAAAACACCAUAUCCUUUUUAAGUUGAAAAAGUAUAGGGCCUAUUUUUGUCCCCAUGGUUUUUUCUUUUUUAUUUUUAUUUUUAUUUUUUAUACAAGAAAAUUUUGUUUGUGAAAGCAUCACAUGUGGUGGUUUUGGCAUCAUGAACCCAAAUCACGGGUCGACUAGCAAACUUCAUGUUCAAACUUUGCCUAUAUCAAAAUCCUUCCGAGUUUUCUUGAUUUCUUACCUUUAUCCUUAACCACAUAUAUGAAUAGAAAUUUGCAAGUUUACAAAAAUAUUAGAUUGAAAUUUUUUAAAUGAAUUUAAGCACACAAACACGAACAAAUGGAUUUAGUAUUGAUUCAUUCAACUUCAAGUAAUCAUUUUGCAAAUCCCUCUCAAUUCACUGUAUCUAUCAUUUCAAAUUCAUUCAUCUAAUCUUUUACAAUGCAUUUCUAAAUAAUUUAACUUAAAUUUAAUGGUACGUACAAAUCUGUCUUCCAAAGGCAUCCCAAUGCUCUUGUGUCGGAUUACUUGUAUAUCUGCUAAGCCUACUUACUGGAUAAUCUAAGUCAGGCCUAAUCGAAUUCAUCAAGUACAUUAGACUUCCAAUUACUUGAGAAUAUUCAAGUUGAGAUAUGGCAUUGCCUUUAUUUUUCUCCAACUUGCAUCCAGCAUCAAAAGAAAUUGCACCAGGUUUGCAGUGUCUAUUUUGUGUAAGGACAUACCCUUCACUAUUUCUCUUAAUGUGAAGUUGUAUUUAUCUUCUUGUCUUCCAGUGUCUAUUUUAUGUACAUGGAAUAUACCUGUCGGCUAGCUGUUGCAUAUUCCCUUUGAGAUUUCCAGAUUGUCCAAAAAUUGCGUACACACAUAUUUCUUUGAUUUAGCAGGAUUAAAAAGAAGGGUGCUUUUAUUUCACCAAUAAGUAAUAACUCAUAAUGAGGAUGAUCUCAUAUAACAUUAUUGAGUUUAUUUGAUAAUCAUUCUUUUUUUAGUUUUUAUUCUAUAUGUUAAAGAUAGAACAUGAGAAAUGUGGGCAUUGAAGAAUGGAGAAGUGAUGUUGGGAAAGAUGUAGAGAAUAUGUGUAAAGAAAGGUGUACAAAACGAAAUCUAAAAACUAAAAUUUAAAAUUAUAUACUUUGAAUUGUUUUCACUUUCGAGAUUUUGUUUUCAUUCAUUCUUCUUUGUUUUGUUCCUUCACUCCCUCGACCUUUCUUCAUCCCUAAUCUCCCCAAUAUAUUUUGCCCAUAUGUCAAACAAAAUAUAUAAACUAAUAGUACAUACCCAAUGAAACUUGUUUCGUAACCAGCUAGCAUUACUACUUUUUUUUUCCUCUCAAGAGUCGAGAUAGAAUAUCUAGCUAGAUCAAUGUUUUUGUCGACAAAGAUACCUUGCACCAAAAGUAGGCCAGCUGCUUUACCAUUUUUAGACAUACUUCAAAUGGCGUCUAGUGACCGAGAGGUUGGACUUCACCAUUAAACGCCAAUGCACAGACUUGUUUGCAAUAGGAAGAGGAUGACAAUACAUGCAUGUGCUCAUUAUUUCCUCCAUAUUUAUACAAAGGUAGUGCUAUCUAGACACCUAUUUUUCCUUCUCACACACUAUGUUAGUUUUUGAUCGUUGGAACGAAUGAAUUGAUAAAGGUCAAACACCAAAAUUGAUAACGAUGUGUAGAAAGCAAAACUAGAGAUGCUAAUAAUAUUAUCUUUAAUGUAAAUAAUAUCGUUUGUUAAAAAAAAAAAACACACACUAUCCUUAGUCAAUUCUUUGGCGAACAUGACUUUUCACAUUACAAAAUAAUACAAACCCUAAUGACUUUUCAAAGGUCAUUCGAUGAUCUUUCUGUGGCGGUAGGUGAAGCAUUACUCUUAUACUUAACUCGAAAAAAUAAAUUCAACCUAUUAUAUAUGUACAUGAUGGUUAUAUAUAUACGUGCCAUGCAUGGACCAACGUCGUCUCACGCGGCUUACACCACCAGUACUUUUUGAAAUGCAAUUUCAUGCAGCUAGGGUUAGCACCUAUGUAAAUUAAAAGAAAGAAUAAAUUAUAUUUUACUACCUCAAUUUUAUGUCGCAUAACAAACUCAUACAUCAUAUUUUAAAUAUUGUAAUGUCAUACAUUAAAUUACGAAUUCGUUGUCAUGUCAAACUUCUAUUAAAAAAUCUGUCAAGUUGGCCGUUUAUCCGCACAACCACUUAAUGAUUAACUUCACAAAUUUGUUAACCGUGGUCCAACAUUUAACGAAUUCGUAAGUUAAUUGAUGUAAACAUUGUAAUGAUCAAAAGAUGAGAUAUAAGUUUGUUAUGUAACCCAAAUAAGGUGGUAAAAUAUAAUUUACCCUAAAAAAAAGUUCCUACAUCCAAAUUUCAAAAAAUAAAAUAAAAUAAUAAUAAUAAUUUCAAAAAUAUAUAAUAAUGUGUAUGGCCGACACCAAUGCGAUUGCUUCUCAUUCAUAGGAUAGGAAUGGCUAAACUUAAACUGAGAAAGAGAAAACACUAGUUGACUAGUCCUAUGCAAGGAAGGAAAUGAACACCCCCAUCCCAAAACAAAAUCCAUAUCCUUUUUAAGUUGAAAAAGUCUGGGGCCUAUUUUUGUCCCUGUGGGCCCAUCUUUUACAUAUUAAUUAUCAAUUAGUACAUCCCAAAGCUAAACUCUAGAUUGGGAUCAAUUUUUAUUCUUCAUGUUUAUUACUUCAAUUGCUUUUUAUAAGAGACCAACCUUAUAAAGUAAGAGAACUUUUUAGUAGCGACCAAUGUAGAACAAUGAAAUUUCUACUCAAAAUUACCAACAUCUCUCUCUAUCAAGCACACACACUAACACUUAGGUCUGUCUCACUACCCAUAAAGCCUCUAUAAAGCCAUUUGCUUGGUAUUGGGUUUCAAUAUCCAGUUUUGUACCCAACUCUCUGGAGAGUUGUGGAGUUAUAGUAUUGACAUGGAGAUCAAUUAUGCUCUAGCUUUGCUCUUAGUCCUCUUUCUCAACUUGGGUAGUUUGCUCACUUCUCUUGCUAACUGCAAUUGCCAACCACCAAAGUACCCUCCAGUUCCCCACUUGCCACCAAGAAGCCACCACCGCAUGUCAAACCACCUCAUGUUAAACCACCCAUUGUAAAGCCACCUCCCUAUCCGAAACCUCCUGUUGCCAAACCACCUCCCCAUCCCAAACCCCCAGUUGUACUGCCUCCACCAUCUACCCCUAAACCCCCAACUGUAAAACCACCACCACCAUCUCCACCAAAGGACACGUGUCCUAUCGACACCCUAAAAUUGGGAGCUUGUGUAGAUGUGUUGGGUGGUCUUAUCCACAUUGGAAUUGGAAGCAGUGCCAAAGAUGCAUGUUGUCCGGUGCUUCAGGGACUGGUGGACUUGGACGCUGCUAUUUGCCUUUGCACCACCAUCAAGGCUAAGCUUCUCAAUGUCAACCUCAUCAUCCCCAUUGCUCUUCAGGUGCUCAUUGCUUGUGGGAAGACUCCUCCCUCUGGAUUCCAGUGUCCUGCAUAGAUGAUCAUCAUAUCUUAUUCCUAAAUCACACUUAGUAGUUGUUAAUCAUGUCAUCAUUAGUGAUGUGUGGCGCCAGCUAGCUGAUAAUAAAGCAUGUCAAAGCUUGAAAGUAAAAACUACUUGGAUAAAUUUGUUAUUCGUUUUUGUUUUGUUUUGUUUACUUGAAGAGUGUAUCAGAUAGAUAUAUUGUUGUAAUUUAGUCAUGUUAUUUUCUUGAACCUUGGAAGUAUAUAUAAUAAUCUGAGUUUAAAGAAGACCUUAAUUAACUCACCGUUUGUAAUCUCCUGUAGAGGACUUACAUGGAACACCACCACCGUGCCCAUGACAUCAUGGACUAAUAAUACAACUUCAUUUGUAAUUAAAGGAACUCACAUACGAUAUUAUAUUAUUGAACCGAGACACUAGUGUAAAUAUUUUAAAUUGAUGAUAGGAUCCUUUACUCUAUUCUUAUAGAGUUGAGUAAUAGUUUUAUAAAAUCAUUAAAAUUAGAGCUAAAAUAACUAUUAAAUUAUGAAUUUUCAUUUCUAAACGUCGAAGAAUUUCGUCCUGUUACCUAAUAUGGUGAUUUUUGGAGUGUGCAAUCUUAGAGUAUAUAAAAACAAGUUUGAUAGUUUGAUUGCUGAAAUUAAUUUUGAGACAUCGAAAAUCAUCUAAAGAACUAAAUACGCCAAUCAUGUCUGUUACCUUUGCCUGACGAAAUAUUAUGUUUUGCCUUAUGAAAUAUAAACCCUAAUUACAACAUAUACCUUUGCGCGACGAAAGCUGGGAGGUUCGUCGUGUAAAGGUUGCCAUUUUAUGUGCCAAACUUUUAUCUUGGUGUGAAAACUUUAACCCACGACAUAAGCUUUGCUCGUCAAACUCUGUUCGCCAGGCAAAAGCAUCUGCAGAAACCAAAACGUUUGACCGUUUUGCUCGACAAACGUUUAUUUUGUCGGGUAAAGACUAUUUGGCGGAUGAAAUACCGUUCGUCUAGCAAAACUUUGUCGAAGAAAUGGUAAUUUCUGGUUGUGUAAUAUAUAUAUAUAUAUAUAUAUAUAUAGGUUUCUCUCCCUUGUGUGUGGCUAUUAUGUCUGUAUCUAUUGAUAAUAGCGUGUUCGCAGGUUCACGUGAAUGUGUAGACUGUAGUGCAUUGAAUUAUUUUAACUGCAUACGUUAGGUACCGCAUGUAAGAUAUCAGAAGGAAAAAAAUAUCAACGUCAAGACUUUCAAAAAUAUAUCAACGUCAGGUACCACAUGUAAGAUACAUGCAACACGUACAACUUUCUUAUGGAUUUUGGAAGUUUGUCUGUAUUUAUACCAAGGCUUCCAAAAAAUACGAGCCUUCUCCUGCAUCGAAGUCCUGCUGAAUCACAUCCACCAAAUCCAAAGGGGAUUGGGAAUAUAAAAAACAAAAAACAAAAAAACAGGUUAGCGAUCGUACGAUCGAUAUCGACCACCAUAUCGACAAUAUAAAGGGAAAAAGAAUAAGAAAUGACAUGUCAUCACCUAACAUUUUCAAUAAUGUCACUAAAACAUUUCAAGUUCCAAUUCAAUCAACCUUUCCUGUCAGCAACGUAUGUCUCGCAUGCUGACAUGCAAUGCCGACCUCUAGCGUAUAUUUAAAGGAAUUUUAACGAAAAGUUUUCGAUACUGUUCAUUUUAACGAAAAAUUACAUUUUUACACUAAAAAGUCAAUUCUGGUACUAUUCAUUUUACCCUUUAUUUUAUCAUUAUCGUUAAAACUCAAAGUUUUCAAACUAUUUUAAUUAGUUUUUCUUAUAUUUAAACUAACAUAAAUAAUAGAUUAAUUUAAACCAAAUUAAACUAGCAAGCGCACAAAUCAAUUGUAGUAAUAUAUACAAAUACGAGGUCAAUCCCACAAGGAUUGCUUUAACACCAAUUUAACCGAUUAAUCAUGCUAGACUUAAUUAAACAAACAAAUGAUAGAUUGAGUUGAAUAAUUGAGUAAUUGAUUAAGACUAUAAUUAACAAGAAAAAUAAAAGACAAUUAAUUAAAACACACACAACAUAAGAAAACCUAAUUUUAUGAAUCCACCAAUAACAAUCCUAUUUACUUUUCCUAGAGCCAACUACUAUCCAAUUACCAUGCCAAUGUUAAAUGUUGUUCUUUCUAAGGUAUGAAUUAAUCCGUGGUCAAUCAUCAACUCUUGUAUCUCUAUAUGAUAAUUAUAUCCUAUUGGUUAGGCAUACAAUUAAACACAUAAAACCCCAUUAAGCGUUGAAGAAUCAUGUCAACCAAGUAGGACUAGUUUGAUAUUGGUCAUCCUCACUAUUUUGUCUACUUUUCUUAAUCUUAGUUCCAAUAAACCUAAUUGAUUGGGCAUCCUCAUAGAUUUAUCUAAAUAUCUAGAUACAAAAUUCAUAAAGGUGAUCAAUGAUUAGAAACUCAAACCUAGAAUAAAAUACCCACAAAGAUUAAAAAUAUAACAUGACAUAUAAUUAGAUAAUAAUUAACAAAGUACUUCGCAAAUAUUCAUGUCAUGGCUUCAUCAUAAACCUUAAAAAAUAACUUAGUUACACAUAGAAAUAAAAAUAAAAGAAAGAUAGAACCCGGAACCCAUAGCAAAGCACGUCCCUAAGCUCUUCUUCACAAAUUGCGGAGAUGGUGAAUGGUAGUAUGGUGUGGGUGAUAUGGGUAUGCUGGGGUGGAUGAUAUCUUAGAGAGCUUAGGGCACUUAUCUAUACUAGAAUAACCCUAAAAGGUCUAGGAGAACUCUCCUAAAAUAAAACAAACUCCUAAACAAUUUAUGACACAAACUAGAAAAAGAAUCCUUCUUGGCUUGGGAAACACGUCAUCUGUCUUGCACUCCAGUUUUGGGGUCGAUUUAUCUUCUGGAAAAUUCUGUACAAAUAUGGGAAACAUAGCUUUAUCUCUUAUCUUUCCAAGCAUAUAUCGCAUGUCACUAGGAAAAAUCAGGAAAGCCUCCAAAUCUUCAUUCUCUCACAGCCGUGCAAUUCUGAUGGGAAAACAACUUCUGCGGGAUUGAUUUGUGAAACUGAAAUGAAUGGCUCUAUGGAAAAUUAUGAAAUUCGGAUACAACGAUCUUCAGCCCCUUAGCUUCCUUCUCCAAUUGGCCUUGCAUCAAAACUCCUCCGGAAAGUCGAGUUAUCACCAAAAACGUCCCAAGUGUGCAGAAUAGCUGAAACUGAGAAAAAGAAAGUAAUAAAGCUCUUUUAUAAUCAAUUCCUUAACAAAACAUAGGGAUAAUUAUUAUGAAAAUAUGAUAAAUAAUGCACCUAUCAACCUCUCAACAGCAAAGCACUUAUGUCACUCCUACGAGAAAUUCUAAGAUCCGACCGAACAAGCCAAGACACAAAAAACCCUUCCCCUAUCCCACCCCGAUUUUAACAUGUUAACCUGGCCUACUUUUAGUCUCACUCUCCUCUCACACCACCUCCAAGUCGAAUGUCCUAGCUACACAAAAACCUCUCUCCAGUCUUUUUAUAAUCCCGCUCUAGUAACCUCAGUUGAAUGACAGGAUAAAUUUGAAUUUUCUUUGGGGGAGGAGGAAAUAAAACCGCCCAAAUAUGUAUCGGAUCACUUGUGCAUCAUGCAGUAUUCAAAUUAACGUGGGUAAAAUGUGGUUUCGUUAGUACUUUGAUGCCUCAGUUUUUCUGCUUUCUUUUGGUAUACACAUUAUUAUAGUGCACCACUUAAUCAGCACACCAUUUGAUAACUCCCUAGCUAGUAUAUACGUUAUUUUUUUAUCUCAUUCAUUUUCUUCCUAGUCUCUCUUCUUUUCUUUUUCCUUUUUUUUUUUUUCCAAUUAGAGGAAACAAUGCUAAGAGAUAUAAUUUUGACAUUAACCCUAAACCGUAAUUUUAUAUAUGAACCAUAAACCCCAAUUUUUUAUCUGAUCAUUUUGGUGGAAAAUAAUCUUUUAUUUUUUUGUUUAAAACGAACAAAAUUGUUUGUAGGGCGAGAUAUGAAAACUUCACAAAUAAAGGUGGGCGUCGGGCGUCCACAUAAUUGUAAACUUUGGCAAGGGUUGUCAAGGAAAUAGGUGUCCAGAGGCAAUGUUUGGGUGUAAACAGAACUACUCAUAUCAAACUCACGAAAGCAUCCUUGAAUAUUAUUGGGUUACAUGCGCGAAAACAUUUGAACUACCACCUUGGUUAUUUCUUGAGGAAGAAGACGACGACGAAUUGGUGAAAAAUAGGGCGCUGAGCUGAACAGCGGCUAAAAGCAUAAAUUUUCUUUGACCAUCUGCACGAACAGAGCGCCAGAGAAACUGGGCAAGAUUCGCAUUUUUCAACAUUUGUCUUAUUAAUUAGUUUCUGAUGAAAUUUCAUUUGCAUAUUGUAGUUUUAUCUGUUUGAUGAGAUUUUAGUAGAUUUUGUAUCUGGGUUUUGAUGUUUUCAGUUUUUCACAUAUGUAAUAACUUCGUACGUUAGAUUGAAGAAGAGCUUUUUUUCCCUUUUGUAUUCGAUUUUUGGGUGUUCUUACUGUAAGUUUGGAUAUUUACUCGACAGUUACUCGACAGUUGUCAUAAAGAUGUCUAGGAGAUACGAUAGCCGUACAACAAUCUUCUCCCCUGAGGGCCGUCUCUACCAAGUUGAGUAUGCAAUUGAGGCCAUUGGGAAUGCAGGCACCGAAUAGGGAUACGUUGCAGCAUGUGAUUGACUUGAGAUAGUUUUAGUGUGACGUGUUAAUUGCAUUUGUACUUCCCUUCCUACAACUUAAGUAACUUGAACAACUUUUACAACUAAUUCUGUGGUUUGUUUUAGUGCAGAUGCAAGAAGUUUUGCGCAAUUCUUUAAACCCCAAGACACAAAACUACACAAAAGCAAAUCAAUCCAUGAAUUAGAGAAGAGCAAGCUGAAAGCAAUAAAUCACUUGGACUUACAUUUUACGUUGGCUUCCCCAAAUAUUAAAUUCCAACCGUUCGAUGCCAGCUCUCCCUUCUCAUCACCACCGUUGGAUUCACCAGAACCGGGACAUCUCCCUCUUCCAGCGCCAAGCUCCGUAUCCCCAGUUCCCACCAAUUCCUCCAAACCCACCUCUUGCAAAUCCUCGUCCAUCUGGGCCCAUUUCCUCAUCCAUCCCAAACCCACCAAAAAAUUGGCCUAGCCCACACCCACCAACCACAAUCCCAACCCCACCCAAAUCAGUCCUGAGCCCACCAGUUCUUCCGCCGCUAAUAGCUUUCCCUCCACCGUCCGGACCGCCAUCCCCUCCGCAGAAAAAGCCGCCACAGUUUGCCGUGUGAGGCGUGGUGAAGCCGACAGUGCCGGACCCGAUAAUCCAAGAAGCCCUGGACUAUGCGUGUGGGUCCGGGGCAGACUGCAAGUCAAUCCGGCCCAAUGGGGUCCUGCUACCAACACAUUGUUGUCGCAUGCUUCGUAUGCCUUCAAUAGUUACUUGCAGAACACGAAGGUCGCUGGAGGCACUUGUGACGCAGGGACUGCCAUGCUUGUCACGGUUGAUCCAAGUAAGUCCAAAUUUUCCCCAUAUCAAGAUAUUAUUUUGGCAUAUUGCAUUUGAUAUUUUCGCAGAACUUUCCUUCAAGGACACGUUGUUUCAUUCAAGGACAAGUAGUCGGUUCUUUAAAAUUUCAAACGUUAUUUUAUUUACAUUAAUCUAAAUUGCGACUAAAAAAUUAAAUAAGUGUGCCUACGUAGUCUAAAUUCCUUACUAAAUCCAGUUUUCUUUGUUUUUAAAAGUUAAUACAAAUCCGAAUUUUUGUUUUUUGGGUUAAGAACCUAAUCGUUGUUAAUGGCGGGUAACAGCAGGAGAGUAUCACUUGACAAAACGAUAGCUUUCGUGUACUCGAUUAUAUUGUCCUUAACUGUUGACAAAACGAUAGCUUUCGUGUACUCGAUUAUAUUGUCCUUAACUGUAAUGGUGAAAGUCCAAGGGUACUAAUUUAAUCUAGACUAUAAAUAAAUUUCAACUUAAUACUAAUUUAAAUUAUGACUUAAAAUAAUCAUUUAUGCAAACUUAAUCCUACACAAAUAUUUAGCACGAAUAUAAAGAGCACACACAAGAUGUAGGAUUUUACGAGGCAAAACCCACCACUGGGAAAAUCCUCGGGCUACCAAGCCAGGAAGCAAUAAGAAAGAAAGAAUACAUAAAGACUUACAAAACUCAUCAACUAGACACUCAUACCAGUUGGCAGCUUUGUCUCCGCACUUUGCUACUCGAUCUUUCUUCAGUCUUCAAGUUAAAGUGGCACAACCCUAACGCAGUCGUCAAUCACUUUUCCCUCGAACUUUGCAGGAUGCUAACUCGAUCAUGCAUAAUAUUUAUAUAAUGAAGUGUUUGUUUGAAAAACAAUCAAUUACGAAAAUCACAAAGCUCAUUUCCAUAAUUGAUAUUCAAUUUAAAACCUCAAAGAAAACAGCAUGAAAAAUAACAAUUUCUCUCAAAAACCCAUGCUGUUGGAACCACAAGCUAACAACACUAUCCAAAUUGUUUUGUUCACGCACUCAAAAACCAAGCUGGUGUUUCUCAAAAAUUCAUUUCAAUAAAAUCAGUUUUUCAUGCGAUAUAUGGCUCACGUUCUCAAAGUCCCUGACAUCUCUUAUAAGGACUUAGAGUCCCACAUCUAUUAAACCGAUAAUAGUGCAAACCGUGUAGUCAGAUAACUCCCAUGCAAUCAGAUAAGUUCCAUCGUGCAAUUAGAUUAUUAUGAAAAGAUGUUUUAAUAAUUAAUAUAGAAAGGAUACGUCAACUUAAAGAUACAAAACACACAGUGAAAAAGAGACCCAUCUCAAAUACAAUAGCAUGAGAUAUAGAUGAAUGUAGUUGGAUGCAUGCGUGCAAACGUACCUGAAUGAGAAUCGCGUUUCGAUAACAUCUUCGCAUCAAAAGUGUGAGAAAACUCCCUAGACUAAAACUAUUACAAUUGUAAAUAUGUAACAAGUCUAAGCUAUUACAGACUCAGGCAUUUUGUCAGGGAUUGCAAUUUUACCCUAACAAUCUCCCCCUUUGGCAUUUCCUUGACAAAACCCUUAAUUACGACAUUUUAGAAAUCGUAAACCUUAUGCACUUAAGUCUGUAAUCUGUACACAGUUAAACGAAACACCCGUGACGUACAAAAGAUAGAUGUUGCAAGAAUAUUAGGAUAAUCAUUUAAACAUAUCAACAUCGCACAACGUUCAUAAAAUAAAAAGAGACUUUAUUAAAAAAAAUAUAAAAAGAACAUAAUAGAACUCUCACAACUAAAAUAAAAAUAAAAAUAAAACUUCUAGCUAAAAACUAUCUCAUCUAUUUCUCCCCCUAACUAUAGUCUCUCCCCCUUUUUGGCACAGGAAAAGCCAAAGAAAGAAAAUCAAUCAUCCUUGGCGGCACCGUCUUCAUCAGAAACCCAGUAGAGAUCUUCUUCUGGAUCCUCUUCGGGUUCUUCUUCAGGAUCCUCUUCUGGAUCAUCUUCUGGAGUAAGAGUGGGCAGUGGUGAGUGGUCCAGAAUGGGGGGACAAGGAGUACGAGUAGACGGUGGAACACAAUCAGAGCGGAAGUCAACCUCGUCAUCAGAUGAAGAAAUAUGAAUAAGAGGAGCAAACAAGUGGUUGGGAAGGCGAUGAAAACAUUGCUCAGAUCAAGCAUUUGUUGGAAGACCGCUUGUGAAAAAUCAACAUCAGGCAAAGCUGAACAAUCAGAGGGGGAAGAAAACAAUCGACGUUUCGCAGAACGUGUACGGGGAGAAGAGAAGGAAGGAUUAGUAACAGGAGUCUUGCCUUUCGGAGCUUGAGGACAUGCAGACUUGCGUGAGGAUGCCAUGACAAAAAAAUGUUUGUGUACAACGUGCAAUGAAUAAAAAAAAACCGACAAUAAAUAAGAGAGAACCACAAAUUGACCCCAAUUGUAAAGCAACUAAAAUACCAAAAAGAUAAAAAAUAAAACAGAAUACAAGAUGUAAUGUCCACAGAGACAUAAUACGAACGGGAGACAGCCAAAACAAUCGAAACCAUAGACAUGCAAUAUGAUUAAACAAGCCAACUCAACAGCAACCCCUAAACUCACAAGGAAUAUUCUCAAUUAUCACUCAAGGUGCUUGGGUUGAAGUGUGUACACUCAAAAAGAUCAUUAUGUGAAUGCUCUACCAUAGGCUUGCAGAUCAAUCUCAUCUCCACACAUCAACAACCUACCCUCAAGAGAUGAAGUAAGUUCUUACGAAGGGUUGUAACAGGGCGUAGGCACUAGAUGAAGUUAAAAAAGGAUAAGGAGAACAUAAGGCCGAGAAGCUAUAGAGUCCUUGAGACAUAAAACUGGAAAGAGUUUGAGACAGAGAUAACCACAAGAGCAUUAGAGAGUGCUUUGCACAUUUGAUAUAUUCGUGGUCUUCAUGUACAGCUGUUACUUUGAUUGUCUUCAGAGAUAAACAGCCACCAUGUGUGGCAAACAUACGACUCUUGAUUCCUUGUUUUUUUUUUUUUUUCAUAUCUUUUUCUUGACUUGGAAAGUUGCUGUCAGCACAAUUUUUGUGUUUGCAGUAGUGAAACAAUCGUGGACUCUUCUCCUUAAAAAUGAUUGAUGCAACUGGCUUUGAUUUUGCAAUGGAGGUGAGAAUCAGUGUAUAAAAAUGGAAGAGGGUAAUAUAUACUGAAGGAGAUGCUCAAUAAUGCGGAUAGGGAAAAAUAGAAAGGCACUGGCUUAUAGGAUAAUGAUGAAGAACGUAAGUCCUACUUUUAUCUCAAGAGGAGAGUAAGGAGUGAUACAAAGCCUUGAGAGAUCUCAAAGCAAGUUCUAGAGAGUCAAAUCACAUAAGAUAGAUCACACAGAAACAAUUAAAAGUGUAUGAAAAAUGCAUACACUAACUAGAGGCUCAAACCUCACAGGGUGCGGAGUUUCUGGCAAGUAGUCAUGUUUAAUCAGAAAACAUUCAUAUAGUAUCAACCACCAAGGCAAAAUAUAUCAUGUUUAGCACAAAGCAGAGGAUUUUGUGGACAACAGUUGUGUAUAUAAAAAAUAUGGAAAUCCUUUGUUUUUUUUUUUCCGGUACUUUUAUGAAGAAACAACUAAAAAAAAUGAAAAGAGAGAAAGAAAAAAAAACAUGAAAAAAAAAAUGAAAACAAACAGAAGUUAAGAAACACGACAGAUUCCUAAUGCCUUGCGAAGGGUUUCAAAACGAUGAGUGUCUAAAGGCUUAGUAAACAAGUCUGCAAGUUGAUGUUCAGUGGCAAUGUAUUCCAGUACUAAAACCUUCUCUUCAACCAAAACACGAAUGAAGUGAUGACGAAUGUCAAUGUGUUUGGUACGAGAAUGUUGAACAGGAUUCUUGGAAAUGUUUAUAGCACUAGUGUUGUCACAGAAAAUAGAGAAAGCAUUUUGAUGAAUGCCAUAAUCACGAAGCAUUUGCUUCAUCCAAAGCAAUUGUGUACAACAACUACUAGCAGCUAUGUAUUCGGCUUCGGCAGUGGAUAAAGAAACACAGUUUUGUUUCUUACUAUGCCAAGCGACAAGAUUAUUUCCAACAUAGAAACAACCUCCAGAGGUACUUUUCCGAUCAUCAGCAUUUCCUGCCCAAUCGGCAUCGGAAAAUCCAACAAUUUCAGAAUUGGUUUCAAAGGAAUAAUGUAGUCCAAACUCAACUGUACCACUCAUAUACCUGAUGAUUCUUUUGACAGCUUCCAGAUGCGACUCUUUUGGAUCAGCUUGAUACCGUGCACAAGCACCGACGCUGAAAGAGAUAUCAGGCCUACUAGCAGUAAGGUACAACAAACUACCAAUCAUACUCAUAUAAAGUGUUUGAUCAACACUUUUUCCAUUUGGAUCCUUGUGAAGUUUUGUGGUUGUUGCCAUGGGAUUGGAGACUGGUUUUGCUGAAGUCAAGCCAAACUUCUUAACUAGGUCACUAGCAUAUUUUGUCUGAAAGACGAAAAUACCUUCUUCAACUUGUUUGACUUGUAAUCCCAAGAAAAAAGUUAGUUCUCCACACAUGCUCAUUUCAAAUUCACUCUGCAUGACCUUAGUAAAUUCUUGUACAAGUGUGGCAGAUGUGGAACCAAACACUAUAUCAUCCACAUAUACUUGUGCUAUCAUCACGUCCUUCUUGAUUCUUUUAACAAACAAAGUCUUGUCGACAGCUCCUCGAAUAUAUCCUUUCUGUAACAAGUACGUUGAGAGUUUGUUGUACCAUGCUCUCAGAGCUUGCUUUAAACCGUACAAAGCUUUCUUCAAACGGUAUACAUGAUCAGGAUGUUUUGGAUCAACAAACCCCUUUGGCUGCUCCACAUAGACUUCUUCUUGAAGUAUUCCGUUUAAGAAAGCACUCUUGACAUCCAUUUGAUAUAAUUUGAAACGCAGAUGACAAGCAAAAGCAAGUAACAACCUAAUGGACUCCAAUCUCGCAACGGGUGCAAACGUUUCGUCAAAAUCCAAACCUUCUACCUGGGUGUAUCCUUGAGCAACGAGACGGGCUUUAUUUCUUGUGAUGAUACCAUGUUCAUCAGUUUUGUUUCGAAACACCCACUUUGUUCCUAUAACAUUUGUUUCUUUGGGUCGGGGAACAAGGUACCAUACAUCAUUUCUAACAAAUUGAUUGAGUUCCUCUUGCAUGGCCGUUAUCCAGUCAUCAUCUAGUAGAGCUUCCUUGGCAUUUUUUGGCUCAAUCGUUGAUAUGUAGCAUGUGAAGUUUACUAGAGCAGUAGUUUUACUUCUUGUCAACAUUUGAUCUUCGACGUCACCAAUGAUGUCUAACUUGAAGUGAUCUUUUUGCACUUGCUUGUGUCAUUUUCUCAAGGAUUUUGUUGAAUCAAUAUUUUGAUGCACUUUACCCUGAGUAGUGGAUAACCCUUCAACUGAUUUGACUUGAAAGAAUUCUUCAUCUGAAGCAGAUUGUUCAAUACUUACGAGAGAGUCAUUCACAACAACAUUAAUGGACUCCAUAACAUUUUGAGUUCUCUUGUUGAACACCCUGUAUGCUCUACUGGUGAGAGAGUAUCCUAGAAAAAUUCCAAUAUCAUUUCGAGAAUCAAAUUUUGCUAACAUUUCUCUAUCUCUGUAAAUGUAGCAUAUACUACCGAAUACUCGCAAAUGCUUAACAUUUGGCUUCUUCCCUUUCCAGAUCUCAUAGGGUGUACACUUUGUACCGGGUCUAAGAUAGACUUUAUUAGCCGUAUAGCACGCAAUGCUAACUGCUUCAGCCCAGAAAUGCUUAGCCAAACGAGCGCUUGUCAGCAUGACACGACUCAUGUCAAGUAAAACACGAUUCUUUCGUUCCACGACUCCGUUUUGUUGAGGAGUGAUUGGAGCAGAAAAAUUGUGAUCAAUUCCUUUUUCAUCACAAAACUUAGAAAAUGAUAUGUUUUCAAAUUCAGUUCCGUGAUCGGUUCUGAGUUUUACCACACGAUCAUUUGAAGCCACUCUAUCAUUUUGAAUUUUAUUCAACAAACCAAAAAAUGCUGUGAACGCAUCAGAUUUCUCUCGCAAGAAGACAACCCAAGUAAAGCGUGAGAAAUCAUCCACCAAAACAAGUAUGUAUUUUUUUCCCCCAAUGCUUUCGGUUUGUACUGGUCCAACCAAGUCCAUGUGCAUCAGUUCCAAAGGUCGUGAAGUUGAGAUGUAAUUUGUGGAUUUGUGUGAACUCUUGGUUUGCUUUCCCAUUUGACAUUCUCCACAAAUUCCAAGUUCUCCAGUCAACAACGGUAAACCUCUUACAUAUUAUUUCUUGGAAAGCUUGAUCAAAUCCUUACAGUUCAUGUGACCCAAUCGUUUAUGCCAUAAAUCCAAAACAUCGUCAGUUGCUUUAUUGCAUAUGUCUGGCACAUGUAACUCAUUUGCAUUCACACAAUAACAAUUGUCUUUAGACCUUUUUCCUUCAAAACUGUCAACCUCUUUAGCAAUCUUUACACUACAUUUCAACUUAUUGAAAAGUACUUCAGCAUCAUCAUCAUCACAAAUUUGACUAAUGCUAAUUAGGUUAGCUUUAAGUCCAUCUACUAACAUGACAUUUUUUAAGCAUGGAAUUCCUAGUGUUUUGAUUUCUCCUUUUCCAACGAUCCUUGCUCUUUUUCCAUCUCCAAACAUGACUGCUCCAUUUUUGCAAUCCUCGGUGAAAGUUGUGAACCAUCUUUUGUCUCCAGUCAUGUGCCUUGAGCAACCACUGUCUAGAUACCAAGUAUCAGACUGACAAGAUGAGAGAGCAGUGAAGGCCACCAAGCAUGUAAGAUUGUCCUCCUCAGAUGAAGGUGACACCUUAUCCAACAACCAAAUUUGAGUCUCUUUUCUUCUCCAUACUUGCUUUAAGUUUUGAGUAAGGAAGUUAGGCAUUAUUUUUGAAAUUCUAUUCAUUCCCUUUGGAUGAGCAACAAAUCUCCCUUUGAGAUUUGAUUUUUCAGAAAUCCAAGAAGUGGUGUGUUUAGUUUGAUUUUCCUUUCGAAGUUUGUAACACCUAGGUCUGAUAUGUCCUAUUUUUUCACAGUAGUGACGGAUAGGAAUAAAAGUUUUUGACCUAAUGAACUUCUUUGGAUCAACAAAAUUUCUCACGGAAUUUGACUCUUUUGUAGUGAUACACGAAUUUCCAAAAGAUUCAUCUACUCACUUUCCUGCUAGGUUCUUGUAAAGCUUUGAUAAACUUGGUAACAGAAGUGGAAGAACUUCCAGUUAUAUCAAAACCUAGACCGCUUCGAUCACUUGAAAUCUUUCCAUAGCUCAACAUUUUGUCAAUUUUGCUUGAGCCAAUGCUAAACUCUUCAACUUUCUUCUUUAUGUCAUUCAAUUCACUUUCAAGACCUUUGUUGUCUGAUGCUAGCAUAUGUAGCUUCUCCAACAUUGACUCUCGUAGCUUUUCUGCAUGUUCCAUUUGAGAUUGAUGCUCGGUCUCUGCUUCCUUCUUCUCACUUUCAAGCUGCACGAGUUUAUUUUUCAGUUAUUCAUUUUCCUUCUUCACUUUCAUGGUGAUAUCAUAAAGUGCAGUGUACUUUUGUAAGACUUUUACGGAGUCAGGCUCUUCAACUUCCGAAUCAUCAGUCUCAUAUCCAUCAAAAGUUCCAAUAAAUGCAACCACUUCCUCAUCAUCUUCAGAUGCCGUGUCUUUUUCUGACUCACUGUCGCUCCACGUGGAAGUUAAAGCCUUGUUCUUUUCAUCUUUCAGCCUUUUAAGAGUAUUGGCACAUUCAUGAGCAUGAUGUCCAUACCCUUGACACUCGAAACACUUAUCUUUAUCAUUCCAACUUUUCUUUUCACCAAGUUUGACAGACUUGGGAGUAUUUCCAUGAGAAACAUCUCUAGAACGAGGGACUUUAGAGUUUGAAUCAAAAUUGUUUCGACUUUCACGUCCCCUAGAACUUCUAAGCUUCAAAAAUUUCCUAGCUUGUUUGGUAAGGAGGGCAAAUUCGUCUUGAGUCAAGGUUUCAAAUGGAUCCUCAUUCAUUUUUUCAUUAUUGACUUUAAAGGCAACAUUUUUCCCUUUCUUGCCUUCUGUAAAGUCGGACUCAUAUGUUUGUAAGGAUCCAAUCAAUUGUUCUAACUUGUAAGUGUUCAAAUCUUUCGAUUUUCUAUAACUGUCCUUUUUGCAUGAAACCUUGAAGGAAGAGAUCUUAGAAUUUUCUUAACAACCCUAUGCUCUGGAAUGCUAUCACCAAGAUUGUGACAACCAUUGACAAUUACACUAAGCUUAGCAUAGAAGUCAGAAAAACUCUCAUCAUCUAGCAUUUUGAUAUUUUCAAAUUUUGUGAUGAGAUUUUGAAGCUUGGAUUCUUUGACAGUAGAGUUACCUUCAUGAGUAACUUCAAGAAUAUCCCAAGCUUCUUUUGCCGUUAUGCAUUUACUAAUGUAGUUAAAUUGCUCAGGCGAAACGGCAGUAAAUAACGCAUUCAAUGCCCUUUGAUUGAAUGUGCUAGAGUUGCGUUCUUCUUCGCUCCAUUCCCUUCUAGGCUUAAGCAACGACAUGGUUACCGAAGACUGUCCUUCGCCUUUGGUUUCUUUAACUAUUGGAGGUUCCCAGCCUUCUUCAACCGCAAGCCAUACUCUGUCGUCAAGCGCCUAGAGAAAUGAUUUCAUCUUUGCCUUCCAUGCAGCGUAGUUGUCACCAUCAAAAUGUGGUGGAUGAGAAACUGAACCCAUAGCACGAUUCAUCCUAGACUACCCACGGAUCUCACUAGAUAUUUUUAGUGACCUACUCUGGUGCCAAUUGAAAGUCCUAGGAUGGGUACUAAUUUAAUCUAGACUAUAAAUAAAUUUCAACUUAAUACUAAUUCAAAUUAUGACUUAAAAUAAUCAUUUAUGCAAACUUAAUCCUACACAAAUAUUUAGCACGAAUAUAAAGAGCACACACAAGAUGUAGGAUUUUACGAGGCAAAACCCACAACUGGGAAAAUCCUCGGGCUACCAAGCCAGGAAGCAAUAAGAAAGAAAGAAUACAUAAAGACUUACAAAACUCAUCAACUAGACACUCAUACCAGUUGGCAGCUUUGUCUCCGCACUUUGCUACUCGAUCUUUCUUCAGUCUUCGAGUUGAAGUGGCACAACCCUAACGCAGUCGUCAAUCACUUUUCCCUCGAACUUUGCAGGAUGCUAACUCGAUCAUGCAGAAUGUUUAUAUGAUGAAGUGUUUGUUUGAAAAACAAUCAAUUACGAAAAUCACAAAGCUCAUUUCCAUAAUUGAUAUUCAAUUUAAAACCUCAAAGAAAACAACAUGAAAAAUAACAAUUUCUCUCAAAAACCCAUGCUGUUGGAACCACAAGCUAACAACACUAUCCAAAUUGUUUUGUUCACGCACUCAAAAACCAAGCUGGUGUUUCUCAAAAAUUCAUUUCAAUAAAAUCAGUUUUUCAUGCAAUAUAUGGCUCACGUUCUCAAAGUCCCUGACAUCUCUUAUAGGACUUAGAGUCCCACAUCUAUUAAACCGAUAAUAGUGCAAACCGUGUAGUCAGAUAACUCCCAUGCAAUCAGAUAAGUUCCAUCGUGCAAUUAGAUUAUUAUGAAAAGAUGUUUUAAUAAUUAAUAUAGAAAGGAUACGUCAACUUAAAGAUACAAAACACACAGUGAAAAAGAGACCCAUCUCAAAUACAAUAGCAUGAGAUAUAGAUGAAUGUAGUUGGAUGCAUGCGUGCAAACGUACCUGAAUGAGUAUCGCGUUUCGAUAACAUCUUCGUAUCAAAAGUGUGAGAAACCUCCCUAGACUAAAACUAUUACAAUUGUAAAUAUGUAACAAGUCUAAGCUAUUACAGACUCAGGCAUUUUGUCAGGGAUUGCCAAUUUUACCCUAACAAAUGGUAAUCAAAUUAUAGAACUUUGAUGAAGAUAAUUAGAAGUACACGUCCUUGAGUGCACAUUUAAUUUGUAAACCUACAAGCACAUCCACAUAUUUUGGAUUCUCAAGAAACAUAUAAUAAUUCAGUAAGCUGUAAGCUCUUUCUUUACUCGAUGACUGGAAAAUUGGAUGCAAAAAACGCAUGCUACAGACAUCGAUACAGGAUGAGGAACCAUGACAAAAAGUAAGUGUUUUUUUUUCCUCUCUUUUUCCUCAAACGAUAAACUAAAUGUUUGGUAGAACAUUAUCCUGUCUUGGUUAAUAUAUUAGGAUUUAAAUAGUAACAUCCAUAAACAAAGAGAUAAUAUUGGAUGAAAAUCAACGUCUCUCUUCUGUAAGGGAGCAGGGUUGUUGGAAAAGGUAAUCAAGGAAAAGCCAUGCAGAACUUUGCAUUUUUGUUUGGACCCACAAUCGAUUUCAAUUUGAUUGAGUGUACCCCUAAUGGGGAAUAAUUAAUUCUUCGAAGUUUUGCUAGCUAGCUAGCAUAACCCUGCACGUAUAUGGGUGGCUGUCAAACUAUUGAUGAAUCGCAAUUUAUUCUCAUUAAUAGUUAGAUAGUUGUUAAAUUAUUGAUGGAUCAAGAUUUGUACUCCUCAAUAGUUGAUUGAUUGUCAAGUUAUUAAUGGGUCGAAAUUUACGCUCAUCAACACUUGACAAUAACGCGACAAUGUUACUGGCAAUUCUCCAACAAAUAACUUACAUUUUAUUCAUUGGUGUCAUUGCUCAUCAUGUGCAUUUUUUGACCUUUACAAAAGAUCCUGUCUCUAGCUAAAUUCCUACGACUCUUACAUCUAUGAAAUAUAUGCUUACAAAGUUUAACAAGUAGUUAAUUAAUAAUAUUUAUCUUUCUUACUUUAAUUGUGGUGAGCAAUAUCUUUAGUAUAAUUACUUUAUAUUUUCUCAUAGGGUGACCCCACACUAAAUUUGCUUAAUUUUAUCUCUUUUACUUUAAAUUGGUGUUGCUUUGGAUGAGUGACACAAGAUGCUAACACAUCCUUUGCAUGAUUGUGACAUGGCAGGUUAUGAUGAAUGCAAUUUCUUCUUCAACGGAUCAUCCUGAAACAGAUAUAUAUAUAUGACUCUAUUAGCUAUUACGAGAUUAAGAAAGAAAAAAUGAUAGGAAGAUCCAAUUUGUUAGACUAUUUUUUGUAGGCGUAUGAUGUGGCCAGUGGCGAAGCCAGGAAUGGAUGGGGGGAGGGGCGAAGUCAGGUAAUGAAAGGGGGACACGCGGUCCCCCCAAUAUAUAUAUAUAUAUAUAUAUAUAUAUAUAUAUUUAUUUAUUUAUAUUUUUUUUCGAAACAUACGAAACGGCGCCGUUUCAAUUAUUAUUUUUAUUUAUUUUUUUUGCCAAGACCAAAACGACGUCGUUUUGGCCUGGAUGAUUUAAAAAAAAACGCAAUAUGCUGUUGCGCGCAACAGAACCCACACAUCACCAGACCACAGGGAGCUCUGAACCCAGUGGCGGAUCCAGGAUUGUAAGAUUGGGUGGUCCAAAUCUAAAGUUCCAAAAAUUAUUAGACGAAAAAUAAUAUUAAAAAAUUAAACAAUAAACAACUGUUAUUCACAAUCUUCUUACAAACAACAUUACAAAUUACAAAGACUAAAUAUGUCCCCAACGAGAUUUCAUACUAAAAAAUGUCAUGAUAGAUUUAUUGUCAACUAGAGCAAAAACAUCCGUAUAUCAUUGAAACCAUCCAAUAUUGAAAUUCAACUAUUUGAUCUGGGUACAUUGGAGAGGAGACUAGUGUUGCGCUGGUGGGGUGGGGUGGGGUGGGGUGAGGUGGGGGUGGGGAUAAGGAAUGGUUCUCUAUUUCAAAUUUGAACUGUUUUGUUUUUGUUUUUUCAAAAAAAAAAAAAAAUUGUGAAAACUAUAUAUUAAAGAAGUGCACCAAACGCACCGUUUUACUAAGGGUGUUUUCAAACCCCCCCGAGCCCUAUGUAAAACAUAGUCUUCUUCUUCCUUCUAAUUUGCAGAACACCAGAACUCUGCAGCCCCACUCCUCUUAUCCUCCACCUUGUGCCCAGACUUGGGUGGUCCUCGACGUCCUUAUAGCAUAUUAUCUGGACUUUCGGGUGGUCCCGGGACCGCCCAGGUCCCUUAAUAGAUCCUCCCCUGAACCAGUGGGUUUUUCGGCGAGGGGAGGGGCGGACCCAGAAAUCCAGUCCUGUUUUCCGGCGAGGGGAGUGGCGGCCGCCACUCCUCGCCCUCACGUGGCUUCGCCACUGGAUGUGGCGGUUGAAGGUUGGACUCAUUUUUUAAAUAAUUUAAAGAAAAAGUCUAACUAUCAAUAGCCACAUCAUGUAAUUAACAAAUGAUAAUUUCAAAUUUUGGUCUCUCUAGCAUCAAAUUCUGUUAACUUAAAAUUUUAUUUAUUUUUCAGCAGAGAUCUACACUACGUAUACAGCACAUUUUAUUUAGGAGGAGUUCCAUAUUUGUGAGUGCAAAUGGAAUUUUGGCUGUAAAGAAGUAGUGGCACGUGAAAGUGAAGUUGUAUUGAUCUUCCUGUCUUCCGGUGUCCAUUUUAUGUACACGGAGUAUACCUAGCAGUUGCAUGUUCCCUUUGAGAUUUCCAGAUUGUCCAAAAACUGCUUACACUAAUAUUUCUUUUAUUUAGCAGGAUUAAAAAGGAGGGUGCUUUUGUUCCACAAAUAAGUAAUAAAUCAUGAUGACGCUGGUCUCAUAUAACAUUCUAGAGUCUCUUAAAGACAAAACAUGAGAAAAUGCGGGCAUAGAAGAUGGAGAAGUGAUGUUGGGAGAGAUGUAGAGAAAAUGUAUAAAGAAAGGUGUAGAAAACUAAAUCUAAAAACUAAAAUUUAAAAUUAUAUAUUUUGAAUUGUUUUCACUUUCGAGAUUUUGUUUUCAUUCAUUCUUCUUUGUUUUGUCCCGUCUCCCCCUCGACCUUUCUUCAUCCCUAAUAUCCUCAAUAUAUUUUGCCCAUAUCUCAAACAAAAUAUAAAAACUAAUAGUUAAAAACCCAAUGAAACUUGUUUCGUAAUCAGCUAGCAUUAUUACUCCUUUUUUCUUUUCCUCUCAAGAGUCGAGAUAGAAUAUCUAGCUAGAUCAAUGUUUUUGUCAACAAAGAUACCUUGCACCAAAAGUAGGCCAGCUGCAAUACAAUUUUUAGACAUACUUCAAAUGGCGUGACCGUGAGGUUGGACUUUCACCAUUAAACGCCAGUACACAGGCUUGUUUGCAAUAGGAAGACGAUGACAAUACAUGCAUGCUCAUUAUUUCCUUCAUAUUUAUUAGAUCUAGCAUUCAUGUUGUUUUCGUGUCAUACCCGAUAGCUUAAUGGGUUGUGUCGUGUAAUACCAGUUAAAGUAAACGGAUAAUAUGACCCGACCUGAAAUCAAUCUGUUAAUAUUAUUAGAUAAUAUGACCCGACCCGUUACCCUUUAAGAAAAAUAUAUUUUAAAUCAAUAAAAAUGAAAAUGAAAAACAUAAUUUGACCCAAAAAAUGUAAAACAUAAUACUAAAUUAAUAUAUAUAUAUAUAUAUAUAUAUAUAUAUAAAAUUUCGGAGUUAACCCCUUCAUGAAAGUUGUAAAACUUUUCAUUAUGAGUGAUUACAUUUUUCACACUUCUACAAUAAUUAUUAUUAAUUUUGCACUUAAAUAAAAAACAUUGUUCAUGAGAUUUGGAGGGUUUUAAAAAUCUAAACGACCAUGUAACCAUCGUCUAAGUGUUGAGGAUGCAAUUAUGAAAGUUUAUUAUGCUUCCACAUCUUUCAGACUUAUACAUUAAUGAGUAUGAAUUUUGUUUAUUUUGAACACCCUUAUAUAAGAGUGUGAAAAUAUUUAGAGAGGAUCCUUGCCCCAAAGAAAAGGGCAAUAGUCUCUCUCUCUCUCUCUCUCACCGUCAAGCAUACAAAUUAACACUUAGGUCUGUCUCACUACCCACAAAGCCUUUAUAAAGCCAUUUGCUUGGUAUUGGGAUUCAAUAUCCAGUUCCAAACUCUCUUGAGAGUUGUGGAGUUGUAGUAUUGACAUGGAGAUCAAUUAUGCUCUGCCUUUGCUCUUAGUCCUCAUUCUCAACUUGGGUAGUUUGCUCACUUCUCUUGCUAACUCCUAUUGUCCACCACCAACAUACCCUCCAGUUCCCCACUUGCCACCCAAACACCAUCCCCACGUAACGCCACCCUCCCACCCUAAACCAUCAAAGAAGCCACCACCGCAUGUCAAACCAGAUCCACAUGUGAAACCACCUCAUGCAAAGCCUCCUCCCCAUGUUCCCAAACCGCCUUCAAAGCCACCUCAUGCAAAGCCUCCUCCUCAUGUACCCACGAAACCACCUCAUGUUAAACCACCUAUUAUAAAGCCACCUCCUUAUCCGAAACCACCUCCCCAUUCCAAACCCCCAGUUGUACUGCCUCCACCAUCUACCCCUAGGCCCCCAACUGUAAAACCACCACCUACACCACCUUUAUUGCCAAGCUCACCACCAACACCAACACCAAUUGUCCCAGUGAAGCCUUCUCCACCCACUGAAACACCAUGCCCUCCAGCUCCACCACCAAAGGUAGUACCAUCCCCACCACCACCACCAUCUCCAACCCCAGUUGUCCCAGUGAAGCCUCCUCCACCCACUGAAACACCAUGCCCUCCAACUCCACCACCAAAGGUAGUACCACCCCCACCACCACCACCAACCCCAGUUGUCCCAGUGAAGCCUCCUCCACCCACUGAAACACCAUGCCCUCCACCACCACCACCAAAGGUAGUACCACCCCCACCACCACCACCACCAUCUCCACCAAAGGACACGUGUCCCAUUGACACCCUAAAAUUGGGAGCUUGUGUAGAUGUGUUGGGCGGUCUUAUCCACAUUGGAAUUGGAAGCAGUGCCAAAGAUGAAUGUUGUCCGGUGCUUCAGGGACUAGUGGACUUAGACGCUGCUAUUUGCCUUUGCACCACCAUCAAGGCUAAGCUUCUCAAUGUUAACCUCAUCAUCCCCAUUGCUCUUCAGGUGCUCAUUGAUUGUGGGAAGACUCCUCUCUCUGGAUUCCAGUGUCCUGCAUAGAUGAUAAUCAUAUCAUAUUCCUAAAUCAUAGUUAAUAGUUGUUAAUCAUGUCAUCAUUUUAAACUCGGGGG